AAGGAAUAUUGGUCAAUGGACGCAAGUCUGAACCAGCCAUGCCGCGUGAAGGAUGAAGGUCCUCUGGAUUGUAAACUUCUUUUAUCUGGGACGAAAACGGGAUUUUUAUCUCAAUUGACGGUACCAGAGGAAUAAGCACCGGCUAACCCCGUGCCAGCAGCCGCGGUAAUACGGAGGGUGCGAGCGUUAUCCGGAUUUACUGGGUUUAAAGGGUGCGUAGGUGGGCUUAUAAGUCAGUGGUGAAAUCUCCGAGCUUAACUUGGAAACUGCCGUUGGUACUAUAGGUCUUGAAUUAUCUGGAGGUAAGCGGAAUAUGUCAUGUAGCGGUGAAAUGCUUAGAUAUGACAUAGAACACCAAUUGCGAAGGCAGCUUACUACAUAUAAAUUGACGCUGAGGCACGAAAGCGUGGGGAUCAAACA
Molecule: ribosomal RNA, 420 nt
Filed under: uncultured bacterium
Lineage: Bacteria
Description: bacterial SSU rRNA
Rfam family: Bacterial small subunit ribosomal RNA
Source: RNAcentral